Mycena leptocephala is the source of this 91-nucleotide non-coding RNA. The record is from the annotation of a GenBank genome assembly. Lineage: Eukaryota; Fungi; Basidiomycota; Agaricomycetes; Agaricales; Mycenaceae.
GCGGACGUAGUGCACGGUGCACCGCUGCAUUUCAUUAGUGGUCUAGCACAGAUUUGAGCAAUUGCCAGGGGUUCGACUCCCCGCGUCCGCA